Nerophis ophidion (straightnose pipefish) is the source of this 618-nucleotide long non-coding RNA. RefSeq lists it as uncharacterized. The transcript has 2 exons. Lineage: Eukaryota; Metazoa; Chordata; Actinopteri; Syngnathiformes; Syngnathidae. The record is from RefSeq and is a predicted model, not a curated record.
CUUUGGCAGUGUAGGCUGGUGCCAAUUCCUGAUGGCAAAUGUAUUCAGCAUUUCCAGAAGCAGAAUAAAACAAGAAGUGCUCUAAAAUUUCCUUGGUGAUGGCUACGUUGACUGUGGACUUCAGAAAACAUACCGGACUAAAACCAGCAGAUGACGUGGCAGCCCAAAUCAUGGCCGACUGUGGAAACUUCACAAUAAAUUCAAGCAAUGUGGAUUCUGUCCCUCUUCCUCCAGACUACCGGGGACUAUGUGCAUAGUCUAGUUAUUUUUCUCCACAGUCCAGUGUUCUUUCUGUAUCCUGUGAUCGAGCUAUGCGCCUCAACUUCCUUCCGGACUUUGGACUGCUUCUUUCGAUCCUCGACCACCGUCGCCUCUCUACAGCACCCAACUUUUUGCUUGCCCACGGACUGUCUUCUUGCCUUGCCCCUCUGAACUUUUGAAGGAUUCACCCAACACGCACAAACAACACCCUCUGAUAACGGUUUUAUAAAGAAAUACAAUCAUAUGUGCUUACGGACUGUAUCCCUGCAGACUGUUUUGAUCUAUAUUGAUAUAUAAUGUAUAUAUCGUGUUUUUUAUGUUGAUUUAAUAAUUAAAAAUAAAUAAAUGUUUGAUUUA